This 296-nucleotide ribosomal RNA is filed under the name uncultured soil bacterium. RNAcentral's name for it is "partial 16S ribosomal RNA". It matches the Rfam family "Bacterial small subunit ribosomal RNA", at positions 26 to 323 of the family's 1533-position model. The record is from RNAcentral.
AGAUUGAACGCUGGCGGCAGGCCUAACACAUGCAAGUCGAGCGGCAGCACGGGUACUUGUACCUGGUGGCGAGCGGCGGACGGGUGAGUAAUGCCUAGGAAUCUGCCUGGUAGUGGGGGAUAACGCUCGGAAACGGACGCUAAUACCGCAUACGUCCUACGGGAGAAAGCAGGGGACCUUCGGGCCUUGCGCUAUCAGAUGAGCCUAGGUCGAUUAGCUAGUUGGUGAGGUAAUGGCUCACCAAGGCGACGAUCCGUAACUGGUCUGAGAGGAUGAUCAGUCACACUGGAACUGAG